AGCGCUGCGGACCGCGGGAAGCCGGUCUGGGAGGCGGGCCGCGCACAUGCACUGCCCCGUCCGACGCGGCGCUGUCGGGUGCGUUUCUGGGUGCCACUGAGCCGAAGCAGGCCCUGCGCCCGGGCGGGCGGACAGGCGGGCGCGGAGGAGCUCGCCGUGGCCGGGAGCCCUGGUGGCGCAGUGGUUAAGAGCUGGCUGCUAACCAGAAGGUCGGCGGCUCGAAGCCACCAGCUGCUCUUUGGAAACCCUAUGGGGCAUUUCUACUCAGUCCUAUAGGGUCGCUGUGAGUCUGAAUCUACUGUACUGCAAAGGGUUUGAUGUGGAUUAUUGGUUUUGGAACCGAGGGCGCAGGCUUUCAUCUCAGCCCGCUGGGCGUGCAUUUGCAGGCGCCUGAACACUGCUGGAAAAAGCCUGUCUGUCCAUGCAGCCCUGUGUUUAAUUCUGCGCGGUCCGAGACCCCCAGAAGGACGUGGAGGCAGUCGAUGUCCACGUGGGCCUGAAGGAACCUCUCUGCAGGAAAGGGAUCGACUUGUGCCACGGGAGGGGUGGAUUUGCCAAAGCUUGACGCUGAAUCUCCAAACCAUUUGUUUCCUUUUGGCGGAACCACUUUGCCCCGAUUUAUUUAACUCGGGUGCCUACUGUCUGCCAGGUGCUGGGGCUACGGAAAUAAAAGGUCAUUUUUCCAUCUGCAGGCAACUCAAUUUAGUGGGAAAGGACUGACUCCCUACAGAAGGCAUGUAUGACUUUUACCAUCAAAGAGUAAGCGCCUUAAAAAAAGAAAUACAGGAACCCAGCCCAAAGCCUCAUCCAGAUGUGUCCAGAUUGAAGCCCUGGAUCUCUCCCUGAUGCACAACCUUUCCAUCAAGACAGAUGUGCUUCCUCACUGUCUGAUGCCAUGUAGCUAAAAGAUAAAUUGUUCAUCCCAAUACUCCCAACAUAAACCAAUGGAAAAGGAACUGAAUAAGUGCAUUUAAAACUCUUAUUUGGGAAGGGGAAAGAGGGAAAUACCCAGGAAUCACUGGUCCAGAAAACAUAUCAAAUCUGCUGGACAGGGAUAGUGAUGGCUCCCUGCACUAGCAUGGUGUAAUUCUUGUGUUUAGUUUACCUGGAAACCCCUAGUUCUGCUCCUUGGGAGAUUCUACCUGCUCCGCUCAUGUACCAGGAAGUUCUCCCUGCUCUGCUGUCCUUCCUCCGUGGACCUAUUAGGAAGGAUACUCCUACCGUGAAUACACAACUUCCGCACUCAUCUUUCUGUUCAUGCCAUUUCGAGGUGUAAGGAUUGCCUUGAGGCAGUGGUAUUAGCUUCCUAUGGCUGCUGUACCAAAUUACUACAAACUGGGUGUCUUAAAACAACAGAAAUUUAUUCUCUCACAGUUCUGGACCUAGAAGUCCAAAUUCAAGAUGUCGGGAGGGCUGUGUUCCCUCUGGGAUUCUAGGGAAUGAUCAGUUCCAGGCCUCUCUCCUAGCUUUUGGUGGCUUCUAGCAAUCCUGGGCUUUCCUUGGCUUAGAGACAUGUGACUCCAAUCUCCACCUCCAUCUUCACAUGGCAUUCUCCCCUGUUUGCCUGUGUCUAAAUUUCACUCUUUAUAAAGACACCAGUCAUUAUAUUGGGGCCCCCCCAAUCCAGCAUGACCUCAUUUUAACUUGCUGACAUCUGCAAAGAUCGUAUUUCCAAAUAAGGGCAUAUUCACAGGUAUUAGGACGUGAGCAAAUCUUUUUUGGAGACACAGCUCAACACUGUACACAGUUGUUCUCAAACUUUGCUGCAUAUAAAAUUAAAAACAUGACACCUUCAGGCCCAUUAAAUCAGAAUCUAAGGGAUUCAGGAUCAGCAAUAUUUAAAACUUCCAGGGCGAUUCCAAUGUGAAGUCAAGGUUGAGAAUCACUACUUCAAAGGUUGGGUAGUCACAGACUGGUCCUGGCUGGGUUCAUGGUGGUUUUUUUUUUUUCCAUCAAAAUAUUACCUGGAGGACUGAGGCUCCUUCUGUCUUUUUUUCUGCUUGGCUUUUCUUAGCGUUGGCUUUUUUACUUUUCCUUGUCACUUCCUGGUUGUAAGAUGAUUGCCACAGCUCCAGUCAUCACAUCUGUUUCAAGGCAUGAAUCACCCAAUAGGGUGGCCCUUGCUGAAUCUUUUCCUUAUACAAAAAAAGCAAGCUUUCUAGAAAUUUCUCCACAUGGUUCUCCUUACCUCUUAUUGGCCAGAGCUGAGGCAUAUGCUCAGACUUAAACCAGUGAGGGACAAAAAGGAUUUUCUGUUUAAGAGAAAUCAGAAUUCACCCUUUAGGGAUAGGAUACGGGUGACUUUCCUUCAGAUCAAGGGGUCCUUGCCCUACCAUAUGAAGGAAUCUAAUUCUAUUAGCAAGGAAUAAGGGAGGGGGAGGGAGCUAAGGUGUUGCUGUUGAGUAGGCAAUAAAGACUGACUGCCAUACAGGGACACCCUGUGUGUGUGUGCGUGACUAUAUAAGCAUGCAGAAACUGUGGAAGGGUUUAUACGCAGUUGUGAACACGUGAAGGAGCCCUGGUGUCACAGUGGUUAAAGCAAUCAGCUGCCAACCAAAAGGUUGAUGGUUUGAACCCACCAGCGGCCCUGUGGGAGAAAGAUGUGGCAGUCUGCUUCUGUAUAGAUGACAGCCUUGGGAACCCUAUAGGGCAAGUCUACUCUAUCCUGUGGGGUCACUAGGAGUUGGAAUUGAUUCGAUGGCAACAGGUUUUUUUUUUCCUUUGGUGAUCAUGUGGUACAUUGCAGUGGGUGAAAGCAGGAAGGGAGGCAAGCAAAAAUGGGAGAAAAAAAGGUCCCCUGGUGGUGCAGGUGUUAAGCAUUUAGCUGCUAACCAAAAGGUCAGCAGUUCAAAUUCACCAGCCACUCCUUGGAAACCCUAUGGGGCAGUUCUACCCCGUCCUAUAGAGUCGCGAUGAGUUGGAAUCGACUCGACGGCAAUGGGUUUGGAUUUUGGUUUGGGGUAGAAAUAUGUAGAUCACAUUUAUGCAUUUAUGUAAAAUUUUGUAUGUAUGUGACUACAUCCAUAAAUAGAAGAUUAAAAAGCAACUCUGAACUCCACCCCAAAUAAAGCAUUUUUCUGGCAGCAUGAACUGUCAGCACCAUGACUGAGCACCUGCAUUCAAGCAAAAUUUAAGCCAUUCAAUAAGAGCAACAUGAGCCACAUGUGAGGAGCCACAUGGAUGGCCUGUUGUCCACGCAUUACGAUCACACGUCACCCAGCCGACAGCCACCGGCCCUCACUUCUCGUAGAAUUAUCUAACAAUUCCAACACCUUGAAUUUUUGGGUUUUUUUAGAUCCAAAGACAUUGAAAGUAGCAAAAUAAGGAGGGAGACUGUCAGAGAGCAUCAAACUGGGGGCCACAAGAGGUGACUGCUGGCGGCUGAGUGUGAGGGGUGAGACAAAAAAAUCCAUAGAAAACAGACACAAGAACCCACAAGGGCAAAGCUGUCAGGGUCAUUCAGUUUAAAGGAAACUGGUUCUAGGCAACUUUACAACCUGUGGUGGCAUCAGUCACAAUGGCUGGUGGAAACUCAGACCUGACUCAACAAGCAACGUUAGAGUUGGGCCACUUUCUGUACUCAAGAAAGCAGAGCAGAGCACUGUAGAAUGGAGAGCCAUGUCUCUGCCUCUUUCAGAAAUGUCCAGUUCGUUCUUGUGACUUCCAAGGCUCAGCACCUGGCCCUGAGCAGAAGUGCAGGUCUCAGUUUGCGACUGGACAUCCCUCCUGAGUGCCCACAGACACUGCAAGCUCAACACAUUUGAAACUCUUCCCGUCUCAUUUUUUAUCAAGAUGCCAAUUGGAUAUCGGUAACCAAAGUGAUUGUAAGGCAAACCCACGCAUAAAGAUUUUCAAAGGAAAUGUCCAAGAAAGCAUUCCGCAAGUCUUAGACCUUCUUCACAUUCAGAGCACAAAGAGCGAGGAUUUGGGGUGAGGAUAUGGGUGAAGAGACGUGUCUGGAGAAAGCGGUUGCCUGUGCCAGGCCUCUAUCUCUCCUCCGUUUUGAGGCUGAAGGGAGGGGUAGAGGAAUACUACCUCCUAUCCCUGGGUGGUAAAAACAGUUAAAAUGUUCACCUGCUAACAGAAAGGUUGGAGAUUCCAGUCCACCCAGAGGCGCCUUUAAAGAAAGGCCUGGCAAUCUAUUUCCAAAAACUCAGUUACUGAAAACCCUAUGAAGCACAGUUCUACUCUGACCCACGUGGGGUCACCAUGAGUCAGAGUUGACUCGAUGGCAAGUAGUUAACCCAGGGAUUAGCACACUAGGCCUGAAGGCCAAAUAAGGUCAACACCUGUUUUUGUAAAUAAAAUUUUAUUGGGGCGAAACCAUGCUCAUUUGUUUAUGUGUUGUCUGUGCUAUGGCUGCUUUCAAGAGACAACGGCAGAAUCAAGUAUUUGAAACAGUUCAUUUGGCCCCAAACCAAAAACCAACCAAACCCAUUGCCCUAGAGUCAAUUCUGACUCAUAGCGACCCUACAGGACAAAGUAGAACUGCCCCAUAGGGCUUCCAAGGAGUGGCUGGUGUGCUUGGACUGGCGACCUUUUGGUUAGCAGCCGAGCUCUUAACCACUGUGCCACAAAGGAUAAAAUAUUUACCAUCUGACCUUUUUCAGAAAAAGUUUGCUGACUUCUAUAUCAACCAAAAGAUCGGCAGUUCAAAUCCACUCAGAGGUGUCUCAGAAAUAAGGCCUGGCGGUCUGCUUCUGAGAGGUCACAGUCUUGAAUACCCGGUGGGGCAGUUCUGCUCCGCACAGAAGGGGCCGACAUGAGCUGGCGGUGACUUGACAACAACUGACAACAACAUUCUGACCCCAUGCCCCAUGAGGAAGACUUGGGGCUCGCGGGGAGAGUUUUGCAAUGUGUUCCCUGUAGAACUCGUGCCUAAACCACAGCGAAAGCAGCUAAGGCAGACCACGGGCUGGGGUCUGACUUCUCCUGGGAAAUCCAGAGCGUGAGAGACAGGCUGAAUGUCUGCUUUUGUGGCUGUGAUGUCAGGAUCUAGGGUGUUAGGGAAAGUGAUAACGAGGGCUUCCCGAGGGCCACUCAGGGUGGUCAUUAUCUCAGUUACCUAGUGCUGCUGUGAUAGAAGUACCACAAGUGGGUGGCUUUAACAAACAGGACUUUAUUUUUCAAAGUUUAGGAGGCUAGAUCCAUGGAAGCAGCAGUCAAGAAAUCAAAAGACGCGUUGCAUUGGGCAAAUCUGCCACAAAAGACCUCUUUAAAGUGUUGAAAAACAAAGCGGUCACCUUGAGGACUAAGGUGCUCCUGACCCAAGCCACGGUAUCUUCAAUCGCCUCGUAUGCAUGGGAAAGCUGGACAAUGAAUAAGGAAAACCAAAGAGGAACUGAUGCUUUUGAAUGAUGAUGUUGGCGAAGAAUAUUGAAUAUACCAUGGACUACCAGUUGAAUGAACAAAUCUGUCUCGGAAGAAGUACAGUCAGAAUGCUCCUUAUAAGCAAGGAUGGCAAGACUUCAUCUCACGUACUUUGGACACGUUAUCAGGAGGGACCAGUCCCUAAAGAAGGACAUCGUGCUUGGUAGAGUAGAGGGUUAGUGAAAAAGAGGAAGACUCUCAAUGAGAUGGAUUGACACAGUGGCUGCAACAAUGGGCUCAAGCAUAGCAACGAUUGUGAGGAUGGUGCAGGACUAGGCAGUGUUUCCUUUGUGCGUAGGGCCGCUAUGAGCUGUAACUGACUCAACAGCACCUAACAACAACAGCAACUAGGCCGUCUAGAGACCUCUGCAGAAAUAGGCUGGAGUUGAACACUGCAUGCUCAAGAAUGAGAGAAGAAACUGCCAGAGACCAUCUAGAAUAUGUGCAUCCUUUGUGGUUCAAGGAGUUGUGGGAGAAAAUGAUCCAGCAAAGAACUCUAAAGAGCCCACUAAAGCAUCUGGAGAGAGCCACCUCUCACCGUCUGCCAUCCCUGAGACUCAGCAUGAAGCCACCAGCCAAGCCACAGAUGACCUAGACCCUACAUCUCCUCAGCCUCUCACCCCUGCCUCACCCUGAUGGGACUGCACCAGCCGCUAGCAAGUUGGGGAGGAUGGGAGUAGAGAGAGCAGAGGGGUAAGAGGAUCACAGCCCUCUUGCCCACUGCAGGCUCCCAGGCACAAAGCCCAAAGCUGGGGAGUGCAGAAGUUUAAUGCUGUCACGUUUGGGGUUCUGACAUUCCUGACUACUGCACUGAGACUAUUUGUGACCUAAUGCGACUCACGACUGCCGAUUCCCCAGGAGUGAGUAGAAAAGCUGGGACCUGCUAGAGUUUUAUCCAGCAUCGUGAAAAGACUACCUGCAUGGAAGACACCUUCAAGGAGUGAUGGGAGACACACGGAGCUAAAGUUUUGCUUGUGGCAUGAUUCAUGCUUGUUCAAUAUACUGAAUAUCAUUAAUACAGUCUUGUACUGCAUAAAGAACACUCGGGCAACUUCUGACUGCAAAUAUGUCUGUGGUCUCAUAAGGUUAUAAUAGAGUUCAGAAAUCCCAAUUGAAGAACAGGACAUGGCCAACAUAAAUGGACGUAGUGAAAGCAGCAGCUUCCUGCACGCAACACGUGUAUCUCAUGUCUCUUGUAUACAAAAUAUUUGCGCUGCCAGGCUUAUAGUGAUACACUACAUACAUAACCUGUAAUACAUAUGCCUUGAUAGUCAUAAUAAGUGCCUAUGUUACUGGCUUAUGUAUAUACUCUACUGUGCUUUCCAUUGCUAUUUUAAUGUGAACUUUCCCUACUUACAAAUAAAAAGUUUACGGUAUAACAGCGUUUGCUUAGAUCCGUAGGCAGCGGUAUCUAAUCUUGUGUAUUGCGUGUCUCUUGAGUGUGUAGCGUUAUCUCUCUGUUUAAUUUCCUUUUGAAAAUAUUACCAUGAAAUGUAUCAUGGCUCCCAAAUGCUGCAAGACCAGUACUAGUGACAGCAGCAGCGGCAGCAAGAGGCAAAAGAGAAGUGUAGAUUUGGAAGCAAAACAAAAGGUUAUUAAACAACACGAAGGUAGGAAGUCAGCAAAUGCUGUUGCUCACGAUUCAGGCAUGUCGCACUCGACAAUAAUCUUCCAAAGAUCUAGGUAUUUCCGUUUCCCUAGCACACACGUGGAGCCCCGGUUAGAGCUCGGCUGUUAACCAAAAUGUUGGCAGUUCCCACCCACCAGCCAUUCCUUGGAAACCCAACAGGGCAGUUCUACUCUGUCUUAUAGGGUCGCUAGGAGUCGGGAUCAGCUCCAUGGCAACAGGUUUGGUUUUUGGGUUAGUAGACACUUACCCUGUGUCUUAGUUAUCUGGUGCUGCUGUAACAGGAAUACCACAAGUGGAUGCCUUCAACAAACAGCGAUUUAUUUUCUCACAGCCUGGUAGGCUAGAAGUCCAAAUUCAGGGUGCCAGGCAUCAGGGGAAGCCUUUCUCUUUCUGCCGGCUCUGGAGGAAGGUUCUUGUCAUCCAUCUUCCCAGAUCUAGGAGCUUCCUCAGUGCAGGGACCCUGGGUCCGAAGGACACGGUAUGCUCCAGGUGCUUCUUCUCAGUGGGUUGAGGUCUCCAUGUCUCUCUGCUGGCUUCUCUCUUAUAUAUCUCAAAAGAGAUUGGCUCAAGACACAAGCCAAUCUUGCAGAUUGAGCGCUACCUCAUUAACAUAACUGCUGCUAAUCCCACCUCAUUAACAUCAUAGAGGCAGAAUUUAUAACACAUAGGAAAAUCACAGCAGAUGGUAAAAUGGUGGACAAUCACACAAUAUUGGGAAUCACAGCCUAGCCAGAUUGAUAUACAUAUAUUUGGGGGACACAAUUCAAUCCACGACACCCUGGUUAAAUGUGGUAGCAGUUCUGGGGGACAAUCAGGGUGAAGACUUAUAACGUAUAUUUGUAACCUUAUUAUAAUGUUCUUCAUUAAAAGUACCUGACCUCUCCUUCAUUCAGUCGGUUCUACAAGUUGUGAACUGGUGUGAGUCUGGGAAUUGGGGAAUCUAUAUCCCAAUAAACGGAAACCCUGGUGGCGUAGUGGUUAAGUGCUACUGCUGCUAACCAAAGGGUCAGCAGUUUGAAUCCGCCAGGCGCUUCUUGGAAACUCUAUGGGGCAGUUCUACUCUGUCCUAUAGGGUCGCUAUGAGUCAGAAUCGACUCGACGGUACUGGGUUUGGGUUUUUUGGUAUCCCAAUAAACAGUGGCUCAGUUUAUACCUUGUUUAGAAGAGCUUUCCGUUGUUUUGCUCCUAGAAAUUCCACGAUCAAAUUGUUGUUGUUUUUAGGUGCCGUCAAGUUGGUUCCAACUUAUAGCGACCCUAUAGGGUUUCCGAGGAGCGGCUGAUGGAUUUGAACUUCCAGCCUUUUGGUUAGCAGCUAAACGCUUAACCCCUGCUUCCUUGGGUCACUUGCUCCUGAUUCAAUAUUUGGGGGUGGUGAGGUCCAGUUCACCAAGCCUAAGUCACUUGCCCAUACCCUAGCUGCAGAAGAGUCUGGAGGAUCAUAAACCUGGCGUUUUCAUUUUCAACAGUGGGAAGUAGAGUCUGCCUUCCACCAGGAUUUAUAAUCUGGUGAAACAAACCCAGAUUUUAUCCCAGACAUAGGAAGGGGGCUCACAGGCUGCUGACAAAUUCUUUUCCCUGAUCCAUUUUACCCUUCCUCUGUUGUUUAGCAACUGUGAGGUUUAGAGGAUUAAGUCCAGCUCAAAGGUGGCCUAUGCUUUAUCCAAGGCAAGUGUAAUACUCUCACUUGCUAGUGAUUUCUUCAGAAAGUUGAACCUAAGACAAUUAGCACAUGGCAUUCCUCCGAUCCCAGGGACUGGUUCACAUUUUAGCCUAAUGACAUGAAAGAUGAAGGGGUAUUCUGGAAAAAAGUCGUCAUGUUUCAGAAAGCUAGAGAAAGAAAGACUAUAGUAUCUUCUGUAGGUGAUGUCUGCAACCAUCUUGAUAGCAGUCUGAGGACGGAGCUGCUACAGGAAGGUGGGCAGAGAGCCAAGAGAAACCCAGAGAAACUGAACUGGAGCUGCUGGAUUAAGCCAGCCCUGAAGUCUGCUUUGUCUUGUCACUUGCCCUUGUGAGAGCCAAUACAUUUUCUUAUUUAAGCCAGUUUGAGUUUUCUGCUAUUGGCAAUUGAAAGUAUCCUAAUUUAUUCAGUAUAAAAUCUUUUGUGUUUAUAACUCUUAAUGACAUCUUCCAGAAUUGGUAUUCCAUUUAUAAUAAUCAUUUCUGUUCUGGCAGAUAAGAGUGGCUAGAAACUGGACUAAGAUGACAAUAUAGCCAAUAUGAAUAUCGACAUGAAAGAAAAUGAGUAUUGACUGACUUAAAAAAUGAUCAAUCAGUACAAUUUUUAUGAUCAAGGAGAUAAGAUUUACUUACCAAAAAUUUCUAGUAUAUUGGCAGCUCAAUUCCAAGUAGCAUUUUAAGUAUUUGAAAACACACUUAUACAAGAUUUAUUAAAACAAUAACUCCACUUACUCCCCAACACCUUUUUCUUCCCCUUGAGCUACUUUAUUACCCAUUGCUGUCAAGUCAA
Long non-coding RNA from Loxodonta africana (African savanna elephant), 9467 nucleotides. RefSeq lists it as uncharacterized. The transcript has 3 exons. The record is from RefSeq and is a predicted model, not a curated record. Lineage: Eukaryota; Metazoa; Chordata; Mammalia; Proboscidea; Elephantidae.